Molecule: long non-coding RNA, 2365 nt
Filed under: Glycine max (soybean)
Lineage: Eukaryota; Viridiplantae; Streptophyta; Magnoliopsida; Fabales; Fabaceae
Description: long non-coding RNA (GMAX_LNC004187)
Source: RNAcentral
UACGCUCCUCGUGCAACUUGCUCCUCAUUAAUUCUUUUAUUUGUUUAAUUACAUUAACAGUCUCACUGACUAUGCCCGUGCUACUUGCUCAAUAAUUGAACACUAAAGAAUGACAAGGGAAAGUGAAAGUCUUCCUCUUGAACGACACAGUUGACUUUCUUCUCAUCUCAAUCUCAACACCUAACAAUAGCAGAAACUAGAGUUAGACUAAGAUGGAGAAAUUGCAAGAAAUUGCAGUGUCCUUGGCUGUUGAUUAUUUGCUUCCACCCUUAAAGAAAGCAGUGAAUUCAGUCAUGGAGGUUCCAAAAGAUGCUGCAGACAUGAAAGACAAACUUGAUGGGAUUCAAGCCAUGAUUCAUGAUGUGGACAAGAUGGCAGCAACUGAAGAAGGCAACUCACGUGAUGGUCUCAAAGCAAAGGUGAAGCUGCUGGUGGAAACAUCUUUUUGCAUGGAAGAUAUCGUUGAUGAAUACAUUAUCCAUGAGGAAAGGCAGCUUGGUGAUGUUCCUGGAUGUGCAUCUUUACCUUGUAAGGCUAUUGAUUUCGUCAAAACUAGGGCCUCUCGUCUUCAAUUUGCAUACAUGAACCAGGACGUGAAAUCAGAAUUUCCAGGGAUCAAGGAGAGGAACAAAAGUGAGGAUUGCUCCCAAAUUCAAUCUUCUAGAGGAAACCAAAACAUCACGUUUGACAACCUUCGAAUGGCUCCUCUGUUUCUUAAGGAGGCUGAGGUUGUGGGCUUUGACAGCCCUAGAGAUACAUUGGAAAGAUGGUUGAUAGAGGGGCGGGAAAAGCUCACUGUUGUCUCUGUGGUAGGAAUGGGAGGACUUGGAAAAACUACUCUUGCAAAGAAAGUUUUUGAUAAAGUCCAGACACACUUCACUCGCCAUGUCUGGAUCACAGUGUCUCAGUCAUACACCAUAGAAGGAUUGUUGCUUAAGUUUCUAGAAGCAAAAAAAAGAAAGGAUCCUUCUCAGAGUGUUUAUUCUACAAUGGAUAAAGCAUCGUUGAUAAGUGAGGUGAGAAAUCACUUGAGCCGCAAUAGGUAUGUUGUCGUGUUUGAUGACGUGUGGAAUGAAAAUUUUUGGGAGGAAAUGAAAUUUGCUUUAGUUGAUGUUGAAAAUGGAAGUAGGAUAAUAAUCACAACCAGGUACCGUGAGGUUGCAGAGUCUUGUAGGACAUCUUCUCUUGUUCAAGUGCAUGAGUUGCAACCUUUAAGUGAUGACAAAUCUUUCGAAUUGUUUUGUAAAACGGCAUUUGGAUCUGAAUUAGAUGGGCAUUGUCCAAACAAUCUUAAGGACAUAUCAACUGAAAUUGUUAGAAAGUGUGAAGGUAUACCACUAGCUAUUGUGGCCACUGGUGGCCUUUUAUCUCGCAAAAGUAGAGAUGCACGUGAAUGGCAAAGAUUUAGUGAGAAUCUAAGUUCAGAAUUAGGAAAGCAUCCCAAAUUAAUUCCCGUGACAAAGAUUUUGGGUUUAAGUUAUUAUGAUUUGCCUUACCAUCUCAAACCAUGCUUCUUGUAUUUCGGAAUAUAUCCGGAAGAUUAUGAAGUUGAGUGUGGGAGAUUGAUUCUACAAUGGGUAGCUGAGGGGUUUGUCAAAUCUGAUGAAGCGGCACAAACUUUAGAAGAAGUGGCAGAAAAAUAUUUGAAUGAGUUGAUCCAAAGAAGUUUGAUUCAAGUAUCUUCAUUUACAAAGUGUGGCAAAAUUAAAAGUUGUCGUGUUCAUGAUGUAGUACGUGAAAUGAUCCGCGAGAAGAAUCAAGAUUUAAGCUUUUGCCAUUCUGCUAGCGAGCGAGGGAACUUGUCCAAAAGUGGGAUGAUUCGUCACCUAACAAUAGCAUCUGGUUCCAACAACUUGACAGGAAGUGUUGAAAGCUCGAACAUUCGAUCACUUCAUGUUUUCGGUGAUCAAGAAUUGUCAGAAUCCUUGGUGAAGAGUAUGCCUACAAAGUACAGGUUAUUAAGGGUACUUCAAUUGGAAGGUGCUCCAAUGUUUGAUUAUGUUCGGCGCAUUGAAAGUUUGGGGGACUUAUCAUUUUUGAGGCACUUAAGCUUCAGAAGUUUAAACAUAGUCCAUCUUCCAAAAUUAAUUGGUGAGCUGCACAACCUAGAAACAUUGGAUCUAAGACAAACUUGUGUGCGUAAGAUGCCAAGAGAGAUCUACAAGCUUAAAAAGUUAAGACACCUUCUAAAUGAUGGAUAUGGCGGGUUUCAAAUGGAUAGUGGCAUUGGAGAUCUAACAUCCCUACAAACACUACGUGAAGUGGACAUAAGCCAUAAUACAGAAGAAGUAGUAAAAGGGUUGGAAAAACUUACACAAUUAAGGGUGUUGGGCUUGACAGAAGUUGAGCCAAGAUUCAAAAGUUU